CUCAAUUCUUUUAUGCAUGGAAUUUUAACCAAAGACAUGGAAUAAACUUACAGAUAAAACAUAAAGGCAUAUUAUGUUAUUUCAGAGAAUCAUCAGUGCAUAAUUCAGAUUUCAGUGAAUUCAAGCUCUCUCAGGACUCUCUUUUGAUAUAUGACUACAACAGGCUAUCAAACAGCUCCUCUGCCAUGAAAUUACUAACAUAAACAGAUCGAGAUGGGGAGAGUUGUGAAGGAGAAGUGAUCUGUUGCAGAAAGCACAAGAUAUUUCUAAAAACAAAGUCUGAUAGAAGGACAACUGGAAUAGCAUAAAAAAACUGUCCCUAGAACUGCAAUACUUCACUGGACACAAGGGCUCAGAGCCAGAUAUAACCAUGAAAACAAUUCAAAGAAAUCUUUGGAGCAUAGUUUCUACAAUCUAUAAAAUGGAGGUUCAGAACACUUACUUGGAUAUUAGGGGGAAAGGUGAUUAUGUUAGCUGCCAUCUGGGUAACAAUCGCAUACUUUAUGGCUCCCUAACACCCAGGUGUAAUUUAUCUUAAGUGCCUUAUCCAUUCUGUCCAAGCUUAACCACAUCUGCAGAAACCAGUCUUUGUUGCAACCAGGGUAUCAGAUGAGAUAGCCUCUGCGUGCUUGGUCUUUCUCACUAUGUUGCACCAUGGUAACCUGCUAUUUCUGAUAAGGCACUGUCUCAUUAUGUAUCAAUCACAUCUUCCCACUACUUGAUGCCUACAUCUAUAUUUUCAGGAACUGAGGAGACAAAAUAAAUUUAAUAAGGAGAAAGUUCUGCUACAAAAUCUGCUAUGAAGUAGAACCUCUUUUUGUUGAUGGGCUUAGCCAUCUUACACAAAUGGAGUGCUUGUUCUGAGAAAAUAUGCAGUAUGUAAACCUACCAGGAAUGUUGUCAAUUUGUUCUUCCCUGAUAGAUCAAGGACAGAAUGUUGGCAAUUCAUUCUGGGGAGUCACAAAAAUUAGAGAUGGGGAAGAUUACUUGAUACGGGAACCUUAUCAGGAAAUGCACGUCGUUAAACCAGAAGCGGAGGAAAUGACUGUUAUACUUGCAAAUGAGGGGCCUUACCAUAUGAUUCACUGGGUCACUGGAAAAUCUCCCUGGGAGAUUUUCAGCAAGGCAUAUCUGUGCCUAUGCCUCCCUCUGGAAAUAUUUAUGAGGUAGAAAAGUUGAAAUCAACUUUGACGUUAUUAUCAAUCUUGACUGUCUUCCAAGACCAAAGUUGAUUUAUUUUUCUAGGAAAAUACAUGAGAAAGUAAUUGAUAGUUGCUAUUAGGUUACCUACUCCAGCUUCUGGGGACAGCUCAUUGCAAUAUGCUUAUUUGUUUUCCAUCUUAUGUUAUUAGAAUAAUGCUUCCACACUCUUCUAAGGAGAAUUCAUGUAAAUGUAUACAGGAAAGCUUCUCUAAUAGUCUUUCUUUUACUAAUUGUGAUAAAAAUAAUUUUUUUCUUAUUCUUUGUUCAACUCUGUCAUAUCCAUCUACAUCUAUAGAUUUUCCUUCUCUCAGAUAUUAAAUCUCCUGUGAAGAGAAAACAAGAAAAAAUAUAUACCAAAUUAAUUAUUCUGUUAUCAAGAUGCCCAUCACCAGCUCUAGAGGAUGUAUUCUGCUUAAAAUGGAGAAUACCACUCCUCUUCUCGUUCAUUAAUUACCUUCUUUGAUGUAAAAUGAAAAUGGGAUUUUUUUUUUCCUUUCCAAAAGUUAUGAUUUUCUCUAUUCGGUGAAAACAUUCUAGAAGCCAGACUGUCAAACUUCUUAAUAUUUUUAAUAAUUACAGUCUAAAUCACUGCCCAUCUAUAUCUGGACCACACCCUACUCCUAGAUACCAGGAAGCACCAGGAGGAAUGGAAAAUAGGCACUAUUUUUAUUAAGGAGCACUGACUGCCAAAGGCUUGACAAACUUUGAUAGUUUGGGAUUGAGGGGCCAGGGGCUUAAAGGAAAGAGCCAUUUGUUCGUUCACAAAGCUUUCAUCAAGGGCGUACUACACUCUGUCCACUAGAGUAGUCACCAGCCACAUGUGUCAGGUAUUGCAGGGAAUGCCAGAGAUAGAGACAUGAACAAGAUACAAGAAACCAUGGAAACACACGGCCUGUAAUGCUGUUAAUAGUUGCCAUUGCAAUACAGUCAGAGCACAAAAGGGGGAGGUCUUGAUUCUGGCUUGGGGUUUGGGAUCAGAAAAGCUUACCUAGAACUUUCCUAGACUGGGAUUGGAGAUAAGUAUUUUUUUUUUUUUGGUCUUCCUUUCUUUUUAAGAUAAGUAAUUUUUUGCCAGGGAUACAGGAAGAAAGAAAGGAAAAGUGGAAGAGGAAAAGAGAAGCCCUUCUCCCUUAGGGGCCAUACCAUGCAAAUGGGUAACUAAUAUUCAAUGAACAAUUAUAUAAAACAUACAAACGUUCUUCCAAAUCACUAUUAUCUGUCUUCAGAAUUUAAGCUUGAAGCCUUAGUUCAAUAAGGGUGUUUUUUUCCCUAAAGACCAUGAACAAAAAAAAAAAGAUACUCAAUGACUAUUUCUUAGUAAUGAAAAAAAAGAGCAAAGAACUGUAAUCUGAUUCACGAAUUGCAAGGCUCUGGUCUCCUUCCUCACUGCAGAUUAGAUAAUGGGGAAAACACAGGGGUACUUUCUAUCCUAGGUGAAAUAACAAAGUCACAUUUGCCCAUUUUCCAAGCUGAAGCUCCUCUAACUCCAAUGCACUGCGUUGUUCUUUACUUCUUAAAUUUAACAGGAAUGAAGAACAUGCCUGUUCUUUUCCUAAGGGAAACUGUGACUCUCAACUUGAUUCUAACUCCAUCUGCUUUUCAGUGGAGAAAAAGGAAAGCCCCCACUAAAUAGGAGCUAUUGCUGCUAUGAGAAUAAUCUUCCACUCCGCAAAGCAAGCAUGCAAAGGAAAAAAAUCCCUUUGUCCUAUUUCUGUUCUCCACAUUUCCUUGCUUUCCAAGGAGAGUUCUCUAUUUGAAGGGUUCUUUGGGCUUUUGUGAUGCUACAGUAAAGAGAGGGAGUCACAGAGGUAGUAAGUAGGAAAAGUAGAAGAAUUAGUCAAAGUUUCUUAGUUGAUUUAUAGGAUAAAAUGGUGAGGGAAGGCUAGGAAAAUCAGGAGAGAAAAGCCAUAUGGGAUGGAAGUAGAUAAGAAAGUAUUUGAGAAGUUAAGAGUGUGAAGGGAGGAGGUGUCGGAGGAGCUGCAGAAUACAAUGCAAGUAGCUAGAUGAUAAAUUUUAACAAGUGUGCUGUAACCCGUGUUUAGAUACCCUGAGUGACUUUCAUGAAAUACUAGUAAAAAGUUUGAAAUUUUAAAAAUUUACUUUGAUUUUCAUGACUAUAUUUCUUUUAUCAUAGCUGUGCUCCAAGAUCGGAUUUUAUGGCUCUAGUCUAACAAGGAUUAUGCUUCUUUGACAUGUAAACUUACUGGUCAGCAAAUAAUAUUAAUCCCACUCUGUCCACUACCGUAGCCACAAGUCACAUGCGGCUAUCAAGUACUUGGGGCGUGGCUAGUCUGAAUUGAGAUGCACUGUAACUCUAGAAUACAUACAGGAUUUUGAAGACCUAGUUUUUAAAAUAAAAAAGGGAGACAGAAAGAAGGAAGGAAAAGAGGGAGGAAAAAGAAAGGAGGAAAUAAAUCAUAUUAAUAAUUCGUAUACGAAUUACAUGUCAAAAUGGUAAUAUGUUAGCUGUAUUAAGUAAAACAUAUUAUUGAUAUUAAUUUACUUAAUUCUUUUUGCUUUUUUAACAUGACUACUAGAAGAUUUUCAAUUAUACACGGGCUCACAUUUGUGGCUUGCAUUUACAUUUUUACUGGAUAGCAGUGUACUAAUUUAUGACAGAAACCAACCGCAAACACUGACUGAGCAUCCUGUGUGAGCAGGACACUGUGUGAGAUUUUUCUGUGAGUUAUGAAACAGUUAAGUUCACGACCUAAGGAGUCCAGAUUUCUGGGAUUACUCCUGGCACCGUCAUCUAUGAGCAAUUCAUGUGACUUGGAUAAAGCGUUCAGCCUCUUUACUUGUUUGUUUGUUUGGGCCACGCCACACAGCUUGUGGGAUCUUAGUUCCCAAACCAGGGAUCGAACCCGGACCCUUGGCAGUGAGAGAGCUGAGUCCUAAACACUGGACUGCCAGGGAAUUCCUAACAUUCAGCAUCUUUAAACCUCUGUUUCCUAAUCUGAAAAAUGGAAUUGAUAACAGUACCUUCCUGGCAAGGUGGUUGAUACGGGUAAAACACUUACAAGAGCCUUGUAACAUGCCUGGCACAUAAUAAGAAAUCAAUCAAUAUUAGCUUUUAUUACUGUUACUCUUAGGGAGGGAAGGGUACUGAAAUGUUUUGAGCGCUCUUGAGGUUUUAUUUUAUUUAUGCCUUUCUGAGAGCUCCAUGAGGGCAGGGACGGUUUCUAUGUUGUUCUCUCCUUUUUUUGCAACAAAUAGCACAAUAUGUAGCAGGAACAUAUUUACUAAAUACUGAGUGAAUGAGUCAGGGAUAAGAAUGAACUAACAGACAAUAUAAUUACUUUCCUUUUAGAGAAGAGGAAAUUGAAAUUUAUGGAAAUACAGAGGUUAAAAAGGUUGGAGAAGUCACAAAAUUCAUAGAUGAUAGAGCCAACAUUUAAAUCCACAUUUACAUGAACAUUCACAGACUGUGAACUCAAAGAGCAUUCCAUCUAGUUAGAGAAAUAAAAUGUGUUUCAAAUAAAAACAAAUGAUAUUAAUACGACUAGCCCACAAAUGAUGCCAUUUCAAUAACCUGAUUGAUGAUUACUAUACAAGUUGAGUCUGGAAAGACUUCAUAUCCAGCAGGGCUGUUGCAGAAAACGUUUGGAAGGGAUGAGAUUAGACCUCUGCAGAUUUAUUAAGUUUGAUUUAGUGGAUGCUUGCUCUGGGAAAAAGGAUCCCUUGGCAAAGGAAACAGACUGAGCACAAGUGAAGUUGAAAUCCUAAGGCAGACUCUGGAGCUGUGAAAUGGAUGUCUUGCCUGGAGAAGAUAAUUCAUGUAAAUUUAUUAAUAGGAUUGAAGCAGAAAUAAGCUUGGGGUUAGAUCUUAGACUUUGAAUAAAGGCCAGAGUUAGGAGUUAAAAAGGUAUCAAGUAAAUAACAGGAUAUUACUUCUUUUCCUUUUUAGUUCUGUCAAGACAUGAUAGUAACAGCGUGCAAGAUGCAACAGAGAGAGAGGGAUAUUGGAGGUGGGGCAAUACCUAAGGAUGCUAUUGCAACAUCCAGCCAUGAGAUAGUAAAGAUAAGAAUCAGAGAUUUGAAAAUAGGAAUGGAAAGAAAGGGAGCAAUUUCAGAGUUGCUGAAGACAGUGUUCUAGCUUCAAAGGCCUAAUCUGGAUGAGGCCAAAGUCUGGGUCACAUAUUUUUAGUUUUAGUAAAGUAAAAUAUGUGACCCAAAUAAAGGGCAAUUGAAGUCUCAAAAUUUAGGCUAUAAAUGGGAUUUCAAUUUCUUUUAUUUUCCUUUUCUUUUCAUAUUCAUUCUUGAUUUCUCUUAUUUUAUACAUAGCCAACAUUUGGCUUGUUCCAAGAUCUAGCCAUUCUACUGAGAAAUGCUUAAAAAAUUGAAUCUCUCCUCUUAUUCCUAUGCUUUAGUACAAGCAUUUGUGUUAUUUUAUAUUCUUUUUUUUUUUUUCCUGUUGGAGUUAUUUUAAAGAGCUCCUGUGUUGGAUAAAAGUAUUUGUUUAUAUAUAUUUUUUCUGUCCCCAGUCCUGUCUUGGCUUCCUGUGGGUAGAAUGUAACACCUUUUAUCCUCCAGCCCAGAAGUUUCUACUCUUAAAUCUAACAUCUAAUCUGUGUUCAGAAAUGACUAGCUCCUAGUAAUGACUAACUCACAAUUUAUUGAGGAAUUUUAAUCAAAAGAAUUCACCUUUUACAGGGCAGAAAUAAAGAUGCAGAUGUAGAGAAUGGACUUGAGGACACGGGGAGGGGAAUGGUAAGCUGGGACAAAGUGAGACAGUGGCAUGGACU
This is a long non-coding RNA of Aethalodelphis obliquidens (Pacific white-sided dolphin), 5948 nucleotides long. RefSeq lists it as uncharacterized. The record is from RefSeq and is a predicted model, not a curated record. The transcript has 4 exons. Lineage: Eukaryota; Metazoa; Chordata; Mammalia; Artiodactyla; Delphinidae.